This 86-nucleotide microRNA precursor is filed under the name Solanum tuberosum (potato). RNAcentral describes it as "MIR8024 microRNA precursor family". It matches the Rfam family "MIR8024 microRNA precursor family". Lineage: Eukaryota; Viridiplantae; Streptophyta; Magnoliopsida; Solanales; Solanaceae. The record is from Rfam by way of RNAcentral.
UUGAAGGAUUUGAAGACUUCAACUUGUAUACUUAUAGGAUUUGAAGACUUCAACUUGCAUAUUUGAAGGAUUUGAAGACUUCAACU